CUACCCUAAUCACUAACCGUAACCCAUACCCUAACCCUUACCUAACCCUAAACUUAACCCUUACCUUAACCAUUUUAAACGUCAUCUCAAAUGAGGUGACAUCAGAGUUGGGCGUCCCAAAGAUCCCAGAUAGCAAGGACCGAUUGGCCUUGCCAAAGAGGGCUGCACUGCUAGUGGUAUACACCUCCUUUUACCUUGCUGUCUCUCCCCCUCUUCAGUGGCUGGGUUCCUCAGUGACUGCAGGCUGUCUCUCCUCCUGUCUUCAGUGGCUGGGUUCCUCAGUGGCUGCAGGCUGUCUCUUCUCCUGUCUUCAGUGGCUGGGUCCCUCAGUGACUGCAGGCUGUCUCUCCCCCUCUUCAGUGGCUGGGUUCCUCAGUGACUGCAGGCUGUCUCUCCUCCUGUCUUCAGUGGCUGGGUUCCUCAGUGACUGCAGGCUGUCUCUCCACC
Molecule: long non-coding RNA, 447 nt
Organism: Oncorhynchus tshawytscha (Chinook salmon)
Lineage: Eukaryota; Metazoa; Chordata; Actinopteri; Salmoniformes; Salmonidae
Source: Ensembl